This 1703-nucleotide long non-coding RNA is filed under the name Mytilus galloprovincialis (Mediterranean mussel). Lineage: Eukaryota; Metazoa; Mollusca; Bivalvia; Mytilida; Mytilidae. The record is from RNAcentral.
CGCUGUUUGAUGUACAUACAGAGUUUAUAGAAUUGUAUAUAUAUUAUUUAUGACAUAUGUAUAUGUAAUAAGAACUUUCACAACAACUGUGGUUCUCUAGUUUCGGUUUUGAAAUGGCAAAUUUUCUCAUAAAAAUCACAACAAGAAUGUGUCCCCAGUACACGGAUGCCCCAUCCGCACUAUCAUUUUCUAUGUUCAGUGGACCGUGAAAAUGGGGUUAAAUCUCUAAUUUGGAAUUAAAAUUAGAAAGAUCAUAUCAUACAGAACAUAUAUACUAAGUUUCAAGUUGAUUGGACUUCAACUUCAUCAAAAACUACCUCGACCAAAACUUUAACCUGACAUGGGACAGACGGACGAACGGACGAACGGACGAACGAACGAACAGACGGACGGACGGACGCACAGACCAGAAAACAUAAUGCCCAUAAAUGGGGCAUAAAAACAAUAUAUGAUAGAUAUUUCCUGUUUAGAAAUUCCAAUAUUGAACACAUCUUUCAUAAUUGUUUUAGAUUUUAACCAUAUUUUAAGAUGUUUCAAUAACCAAUAACUGAUCUUUUUAUUUGUAGGAAAAAAAUCAAAUAAAAACUGUAAAAAUCUAUAUCCAGAAGUGCUGAGCCACAGUUAAUGUGAAAGGUUCUCUUUAGCUGACUUAUAUAACUGCUGUAGAAUUGCUAUAGAUAUAUUGCAAAAAAAAAUUAAUGUGAGGCUUUGUUUCAGUUUUAAUUAAGAGGCAUUUUAACUGAUAUUGAAAAAUAGAUUUAUGAUUAUUUGUUGUGAUUUUAAAAACAUUCAUUUUCAAGGGUCUGGAUGGGGUUUUACAAAAUAUAGAAUAAUGAGCAAAAACAUAUAGAAUAAUAUGCGAGAAACAAUGAAAAGAGAAACAUGGACAAAAAAUAUAAAAAAUAGAGAGAAAAUGGGGUGCUAAGAACAGAUAAUAGUUGGCUAAAAAAAAUAAGUGAAAAAUGGCCUAUAAAACUUAUAGCAUUCAGAAAUGAAGCCCCCCCCCCCCCUCCCCUCCCCAUCCAGAAAGACAUAUUCAUCGGUAAACAUAUAUAUAUUCAUAAUAAUAAAAAAAAAACAAGUACCGGUAUCACAAUAGCCUAGUCAUUUCAUUCAGUUAUUUUUUUUGUAUUUUUUAUACUUGUUUUAUUCUCACAAUAUUGUAGUCCUACGAGUUAUUAUAUGUGGGAUUAGAUAUGGUUUCUUCUAGACAAAAUGCACCCUUUUUUAGACAAAUCCAAUUUGUUUUUUUAUUAGCCAACAUACUGAAAUUCUGCAAAUGAAAAAAAUAUGGUAAGAGUGUACAGAAAAUCUGUACUUAAAAGAUAUGACUUAAAUACAACUUUGAAAGUAAAACAGUUCCUCCUUUAGUAAAAUAAUGUUUUAUCAUAUCUUUCACAUUACUGUUUGAAGAAUCUUAAAAUAAACUAAAACAAUACACAUGUGUCAAAAGUGGCAAGAAUUUUAUAAUGGGUUUUGCACAUAAACAUGGCUUUUACAUGUAUGAGAAUGGAAAAUUACAAGAAAACAAUAAGUAUAAAUUAUAAGUGACGAGAUGUUUUUGCAAAGAUACACACCUUUUCAAGCAUUAUAAAAAUUUCGGCAGCUGACAUCAUUUUGAAGAAAGCUUUGUGCAGCAUUCUUUGCAUUUUCUGUUGCAAUACCUAAUAGAUUUCUGUAAUCUGAAGAAGCAAUUAUUCGAU